RNAcentral lists this ribosomal RNA (448 nucleotides) under uncultured bacterium. RNAcentral describes it as "partial 16S ribosomal RNA". It matches the Rfam family "Bacterial small subunit ribosomal RNA", at positions 29 to 523 of the family's 1533-position model. The record is from RNAcentral.
AACGAGCGCUGGCGGCAGGCCUAACACAUGCAAGUCGAGCGCUCUAGCAAUAGAGAGCGGCGCACGGGUGAGUAACGCGUAGGAAUCUACCUUGUAGUACGGAACAACAGUUGGAAACGACUGAUAAUACCGUAUACGCCCUUCGGGGGAAAGAAUUUCGCUAUAAGAUGAGCCUGCGUUAGAUUAGCUAGUUGGUGAGGUAAUGGCUCACCAAGGCUCCGAUCUAUAGCUGGUCUGAGAGGAUGAUCAGCCACACUGGGACUGAGACACGGCCCAGACUCCUACGGGAGGCAGCAGUGGGGAAUAUUGGGCAAUGGGCGCAAGCCUGACCCAGCCAUGCCGCGUGAGUGAUGACGGCCUUAGGGUUGUAAAGCUCUUUUAGUGGUGAGGAUGAUGACGGUAACCACAGAAAAAGCCCCGGCUAACUUCGUGCCAGCCGCCGCCGUAA